GGCCUGAUAGUACAGUUGGAAGUGCGUCUGCUUCACUUGGACCAUGGAUUAUCAACAAUCUCAGCAGAAGAUCCCCGUUCGAUCCGGGGUCAGGCCG
Mycena crocata is the source of this 97-nucleotide non-coding RNA. The record is from the annotation of a GenBank genome assembly. Lineage: Eukaryota; Fungi; Basidiomycota; Agaricomycetes; Agaricales; Mycenaceae.